CCUGCCCUCCGCUUCUAGAGCAGAAAUCUCUGGGGUCUCCCCUCUCCCCAGCCUCUGGCUGGAGCUGAUUAGAUCCUGAGCAACACUGUUCUCAGGAAUCACCUUGUGGAACUGCUGGUCCCUUGGAGCCCCGCUGCCAGAAUUGGCUUCCCCUCAGUUGUGGGGUCCAGGCCAGAGUUGGCCCGGCUACUCCUCUGGUCCAGGCUCAAGCAGGAAUCAGAGUCAGGGGCAGUACUCUGCUCAGAGAGCUGGCCUCAAGUGAAGUUUAUUCCAAAUAUCUCCCAAGGGGAUAACUUAGCUUUUCAGUGAACACAGUUCCCAG
Molecule: long non-coding RNA, 322 nt
Filed under: Bos taurus (domestic cattle)
Lineage: Eukaryota; Metazoa; Chordata; Mammalia; Artiodactyla; Bovidae
Description: long non-coding RNA NONBTAT005584
Source: RNAcentral